GCGGCUGCAGCUCAGUGGAUAGAGUAUUGGCCUCCGAAGCCAAGGGUCGUGGGUUCGAUCCCCGCCAGCCGCACCA
Molecule: transfer RNA, 76 nt
Filed under: Rhodoferax sp.
Lineage: Bacteria; Pseudomonadati; Pseudomonadota; Betaproteobacteria; Burkholderiales; Comamonadaceae
Description: tRNA-Arg
Rfam family: tRNA
About the family: Transfer RNA (tRNA) molecules are approximately 80 nucleotides in length.
Source: RNAcentral